This is a non-coding RNA of Lyophyllum atratum, 95 nucleotides long. Lineage: Eukaryota; Fungi; Basidiomycota; Agaricomycetes; Agaricales; Lyophyllaceae. The record is from the annotation of a GenBank genome assembly.
UCGGGUAUGGUGUAACGGCUAACAUUGCCGCCUCUCAUGCAUCAGGACUCGUCUAAAGCGCGCGGCAGCUCGGGGUUCGAUUCCCCGUACCCGAA